CACGCCUGUCCUGAGUGUCUCCAAAGGGAGGGCUGCAUGCACGGAGGAUCUGACUCACUUCGCUGCGCGGAAAACUUCGGAUUGCCACUCAUUAUCGCACCCGAGCAGGGACUGUUUUUUUUUUUUUUUUUGCUCGCUUAGGAGGAAUCCGAGGUGUAGAGAAUCAAAGAGGGUGGACAGGCAGGUAAGCGAUGGAGAGGUGGAGGUAAAGAAUUCAUAAGGCAGCAACCAGGAGGACUGUAGGGCAGCUGUGAAUCCAGGAAGGUCGUCCAGGAAGUAGUUCACACAGUCAACACUAUCUUCAGGAAUGAAUCUCCAGAGUUCAAAACAAAACGUCCAAUGUUCUUCCGGAGGCUCUGGAUCAAGGUCCUCUUUAAGCUCCUCCUGAUGAUUGCAAUGAACUGCAGCGGCAGUGGCCGCACCUGCUGGUCACACCCUGGAAGGAGGUGAGAGAGAAGAACAACCCAAACAACUCGUGCAAAGAUCAGUGAUAUGACACUCCCAAGAUUCUGAUGAUAACUCUGGAGGAGCUGCAAAGAUCCACAGAGCUCAGGAACCAGUUCCCUUGUUCAGUUCCUGGCUUCCUGUACUCUGCUUCUUCCUUCCUUGUGAUUAUUGGAGAAAUCCCCUCAAGACUCUUCCCAUGAAUUUCCUCAUGGCCCUUUUGGUUGCCCUGCUGUUACAAGCUUUUGGAUUCCUUCGACAGCAACGCUCAUUCACCUGCUUGUCCAUGCUCCAGCAUUCCUCCAUCCACUGAUCUCAUACACUGGAAAGAAACAAUGAAGGAAACAAUAAACCAGCCACCAUUCACACUUGUCAACCUUAGACUUUGUGGAUAAGACUUGCCUUCCCUGGAACUCCAUCACCACCUUCAACAAUAAGAACCUCUCAAUAUCAAUUAUACAACAUUAUUAAUCAUUUCCAAUCUUAGACAACAACCACUUACUUCUCCUUCUCCUUCUCAGUGCUGAUCUGGACCUUCCACCUUAAACCUGGUAACAUGCACAUAGUUUCAAUAAACCUUUCAAACUCU
Girardinichthys multiradiatus is the source of this 1033-nucleotide long non-coding RNA. RefSeq lists it as uncharacterized. The record is from RefSeq and is a predicted model, not a curated record. Lineage: Eukaryota; Metazoa; Chordata; Actinopteri; Cyprinodontiformes; Goodeidae. The transcript has 4 exons.